Long non-coding RNA from Eupeodes corollae, 803 nucleotides. RefSeq lists it as uncharacterized. The transcript is spliced from 4 exons. NCBI's taxonomy places the organism in Eukaryota, Metazoa, Arthropoda, Insecta, Diptera, Syrphidae. The record is from RefSeq and is a predicted model, not a curated record.
UUGUACUUUUUCUCUUAUUUAAAAAAAUCCUAAAGUUAGUAAACACAGUACCUGACCAAUUGACAAAUUUAAAUUCUUUUUUGAUCGAUUUUAUUUUAAAAUACUGUGAGAUUAAAAAAUAAGACGUAGACUUUCGCUAUGUUAUACGAAUCAGUUAAACCACGUUCGAUGUAACACGCAGUCACGCCACAUUUUUAUAAAUUUUAAUAGAACAAGAUCCUUAAAAAUAAUAAUCUUUGAAAUUUCCGGAAAAAAUUGCAUUAAAAAUACUUUUGUUCACUCGGAAUUUAAAAAGCUGUAAGGAGUUAGAUUUUUAUGAUGAAAAAUCAGUCACCUUCCGUUCGAAAUUCACAGUAGGGAAAGAGUGAAAUGAAAUGAUUCCGGAUGGAAUAUUUAUCGGGCGAAACUAUUAGAAAUUUAAUUUUUAAGUUAAUAGGUAACCUAAAGACCUUUAAUUAAUCGUUUUUCUUCUUUUUUCAGUUUAAAAAUUUAAAAUGAGCGGAGGGAACAAAUCAAGGGAUGACUUUUGCUUCAAAUUACGAUAGAGCUUAGUGAGAAGAUAUUGCUUGAAAGGGUGGUGAAUUUAGUUGAGGUGAACGAAUCUUGAAUUAAUCCCAGUUGGCAGCAACGACAAGAGCUUAUGGAAAAAGCUCUUGUCAAAGAAGAUCUCAAAAUAAUUAAAUUCAGGAAGGAUGUGAUUUUUGCUGAUGAAUUUAAAUAGAGUUCUAAGUUUCUGUUAUUUAAUUUUUAUACUGUGCAAGUUUUAAAUAAAAAAUGUUUUAAAUGUGCUUUUAUGCAUAUAA